RNAcentral lists this long non-coding RNA (507 nucleotides) under Hordeum vulgare. RNAcentral's name for it is "long non-coding RNA (HVUL_LNC006126)". The record is from RNAcentral. Lineage: Eukaryota; Viridiplantae; Streptophyta; Magnoliopsida; Poales; Poaceae.
AGACCCUCGUGCACUCCUCCUCAGCACGCGUUUGUUCCUUUGCUGCUGCUACCGCCGGCGACUCCGUCCCGUUCACCGCGUACACGGUCCAUAGGAGAGGAGGCCCCCCGAAACCCCGCCUCUCCGGAUCCUGUACGGGAGAGGGACGAUUAGGUUUUUAGAGAGCGAUCACACGACUACUCACCUUCGUCUGUCUGCUUUGUAUACGGCCGAAGCCGAAAAGAAGACGACAGAGGAUGCUGCCGCCGCCACCGCAGCUACCACAGCCAAGUGGCCGAUCGGAGGGUAUAACCCGUUUAUCCCGCUCCUGUUUAUUUUAGCCCCAGUAGUGCUAGCUAUAGGCCAUAUUAGUAAUUAUUUCAUGGAUUAAUCUACUCGGAAAAUUGCCUGUUUACUCAACACAUGCUGCUCAAAGUAGUACCAUUACCAUACCAUGCAGAUUUAUCAUAAAUUGACACAUCCAUGUCUCACUCGUCAAUAAGGUCUAUCUAGAAAGCGGACUCUCAA